RNAcentral lists this ribosomal RNA (119 nucleotides) under Trichuris muris. The record is from RNAcentral. Lineage: Eukaryota; Metazoa; Nematoda; Enoplea; Trichinellida; Trichuridae.
GUCUACGAUCAUACUAGGUUGAAUGCACCGCAUACCGUCAGGUCUGAAAAGUUAUGCGACGUUAGGCCGAGUAAGUACCAUGGUUGUAGAUAACAUGGGAACCCUCGGUGUCGUAGACA